Molecule: ribosomal RNA, 403 nt
Filed under: uncultured bacterium
Lineage: Bacteria
Description: partial 16S ribosomal RNA
Rfam family: Bacterial small subunit ribosomal RNA
Source: RNAcentral
GACGAACGCUGGCGGCGUGCCUAAUACAUGCAAGUCGAACGCAGUGGGGACGGGUGAGUAACACGUGGGUAACCUCCCAUCAGAGGGGAUAACACUUGGAAACAGGUGCUAAACCGAUACUGAUGGAUGGACCCGCGGUGCAUUAGCUAGUUGGUGAGGUAACGGCUCACCAAGGCCACGAUGCAUAGCCGACCGGGGAGGGGUAUCUGCCACACUGGGGGUUAGGCACGGCCAAGACUCCUACGGGAGGCAGCAUGAGGGAAUCUUCGGCAAUGGACGAAAGUCUGACCGAGCAACUCCGCGUUAGUGAAGAAGGUUGUCGGAUCGUAAAACUCUGUUGUUAGAGAAGCGGUAUCUAACCAGAAAGCCACGGCUAACUACGUGCCAGCAGCCGCGGUAAUUC